This 593-nucleotide ribosomal RNA is filed under the name Penicillium chrysogenum. RNAcentral describes it as "eukaryotic LSU rRNA". The stretch from base 209 to 361 matches the Rfam family "5.8S ribosomal RNA". The record is from RNAcentral. Lineage: Eukaryota; Fungi; Ascomycota; Eurotiomycetes; Eurotiales; Aspergillaceae.
CUUCCGUAGGUGAACCUGCGGAAGGAUCAUUACCGAGUGAGGGCCCUCUGGGUCCAACCUCCCACCCGUGUUUAUUUUACCUUGUUGCUUCGGCGGGCCCGCCUUAACUGGCCGCCGGGGGGCUUACGCCCCCGGGCCCGCGCCCGCCGAAGACACCCUCGAACUCUGUCUGAAGAUUGUAGUCUGAGUGAAAAUAUAAAUUAUUUAAAACUUUCAACAACGGAUCUCUUGGUUCCGGCAUCGAUGAAGAACGCAGCGAAAUGCGAUACGUAAUGUGAAUUGCAAAUUCAGUGAAUCAUCGAGUCUUUGAACGCACAUUGCGCCCCCUGGUAUUCCGGGGGGCAUGCCUGUCCGAGCGUCAUUUCUGCCCUCAAGCACGGCUUGUGUGUUGGGCCCCGUCCUCCGAUCCCGGGGGACGGGCCCGAAAGGCAGCGGCGGCACCGCGUCCGGUCCUCGAGCGUAUGGGGCUUUGUCACCCGCUCUGUAGGCCCGGCCGGCGCUUGCCGAUCAACCCUAAAUUUUUAUCCCAGGUUUGACCUCGGAUCAGGUAGGGAUACCCGCUGAACUUAAGCAUAUCAAUAAGCGGAGGAACG